UACAGAUAGCCACAGAAAAGGUCCAAA
RNAcentral lists this non-coding RNA (27 nucleotides) under Mus musculus (house mouse). Lineage: Eukaryota; Metazoa; Chordata; Mammalia; Rodentia; Muridae. The record is from RNAcentral.